GCUUUUUGCUUCAGGACCUCCUGGCGGGUGCGGGUGGGGAGUGAGGAUGGGGAGCUCGACUCGCAGUUCCCACUUCGUGCUUCUCCUCGCCUAAACGGUUCUUACCUACACUUCUCGUAGGGGACGAGAGGCAGGACUUUCCCUUUUGGUCACCUCUAAAUGACUCACUGCCACAUAAUAAUGAGACAAAAAGACCCUCAUACCAGUAAAACGGUUAUUCCACGGCUGAUGGACUUAGACGGUUCUUCAUUUCUUCCUGUGCUUUCAGGCCGCUGUGUAUUUGCAGAGCCUGCACCAGCAGCCUAGAGCGUUCUUAGGAACUUGGUGAUAUGUUGACGGGUCGUGUAAAGAACUUGGACUCUGGGGCCAUACUGACCAGAAUGCACCUGAGGGCGUUUUUAGAGGCAGUACCCUGGAGAGAAUUCAGGCCCUGGAGUCCAGCGGACCUAGACUGGAAUCUUGGCUGAGUCACUCCCUGGCUGUCCACUCAACCUCUCUGAGCCUCAGUUUUCUGAUCUGCAUUUGUCUUGUAUUUCAUGGCAUUAUUGGAAUUAAAAUUAACAUACAAUUCUUGACAGAUUGGAAGAGGAUGUGAAGGGAGAUCUUGACAUUAUCAGGUCCGUAUGAUAUGGCGCCUGGCAUAGAGCAAAUGUUUAAUAAAUGGUAGCUGUUAUUACCAGCUGAGAAACAAUAGGCAAUAUACUUAGCCUCUCUGAGCCUUAGUUUUAGAACCUGAAAUGAAAUUCAGAGCGCCCAGCACAUAGGUUUUCUGUAACUAUAGGUUCAGUCGUUGUCCAGAAACAUUUCUAGAGUCCGUCCGGAGUUGGAUUGAUGCCAGCUCUUAAAAACUAUGAAGGCAGGAUCAGUGGCCACAUUUAAACGGUUUCCCUGGGUGAGGAAACACACUCUCCACUCCCUAAUGUUAACACGUAGCGAGAGCCAGUAUUGAUAGGAGACCAUUAUGGUGUAGCCCAAACUCUAACGCCAAGGGGUUCAGUGUUUUCUGCUUCUAAUACUGGUCACAGAAAACUUGUGAGUCCGGUAAGCAAAAUCCUACAAAGGGAAAAGACUGCAAGUUAGAAUAAGACACCUCUUAAAAAUCUCUCUAGCUUUACCCUGAGAGAAAGGAGGAACUACUGUCCCUCAAAAAACUGUUUGCCUUGAUUUUUUACAAAGGAUUUUUAACUUCUUUUUUUUCAAUCUACGGCUGAUACAGUACUCUUUGGCAAGUCAUUUGGCUUCUUUCCGAUGUCUUCUGAAGUAGCUUUACUGCCCUCUGACCUACAGGGAAUAACUGAAAUUUACAUGUUUAAUACAGGUACUGUGGUAGACAGAAUAAUGUCUUCCCCGCUUGCCCAAAACUGUCCAAGUCCUAGUCCCUGGAACCUGUGAAUAUGUUGCUUUUUUA
This 1408-nucleotide long non-coding RNA is filed under the name Homo sapiens (human). Its description in RNAcentral is "non-protein coding lnc-NOL4L-2:3". Lineage: Eukaryota; Metazoa; Chordata; Mammalia; Primates; Hominidae. The record is from RNAcentral.